AGCGUGCGCAGGCGGUUUUGUAAGUCUGUCGUGAAAUCCCCGGGCCUCAACCUGGGAAUGGCGAUGGAGACUGCAAGGCUAGAGUUUGGCAGAGGGGGGGUAGAAUUCCACGUGUAGCAGUGAAAUGCGUAGAUAUGUGGAGGAACACCGAUGGCGAAGGCAGCCCCCUGGGUCAAGACUGACGCUCAUGCACGAAAGCGUGGGGAGCAAACAGGAUUAGAUACCCUAGU
Molecule: ribosomal RNA, 230 nt
Filed under: uncultured bacterium
Lineage: Bacteria
Description: partial 16S ribosomal RNA
Rfam family: Bacterial small subunit ribosomal RNA
Source: RNAcentral